ACGGGAGGCAGCAGUCGGGAAUAUUGCGCAAUGGAGGAAACUCUGACGCAGUGACGCCGCGUAUAGGAAGAAGGUUUUCGGAUUGUAAACUAUUGUCGUUGGGAAGAGAAAGGACAGUACCUAAGGAGGAAGCUCCGGCUAACUACGUGCCAGCAGCCGCGGUAAUACGUAGGGAGCGAGCGUUAUCCGGAUUUAUUGGGUGUAAAGGGUGCGUAGACGGGAAAUUAAGUUAGUUGUGAAAUCCCUCGGCUCAACUGAGGAACUGCAACUAAAACUGGUUUUCUUGAGUGCAGGAGAGGUAAGUGGAAUUCCUAGUGUAGCGGUGAAAUGCGUAGAUAUUAGGAGGAACACCAGUGGCGAAGGCGACUUACUGGACUGUAACUGACGUUGAGGCACGAAGGUGUGGGGAGCAAACAGGAUUAGAUACCCUGGUA
RNAcentral lists this ribosomal RNA (434 nucleotides) under uncultured Oscillospiraceae bacterium. RNAcentral describes it as "bacterial SSU rRNA". It matches the Rfam family "Bacterial small subunit ribosomal RNA", at positions 341 to 792 of the family's 1533-position model. The record is from RNAcentral. Lineage: Bacteria; Bacillati; Bacillota; Clostridia; Eubacteriales; Oscillospiraceae.